This 253-nucleotide ribosomal RNA is filed under the name uncultured bacterium. RNAcentral describes it as "partial 16S ribosomal RNA". It matches the Rfam family "Bacterial small subunit ribosomal RNA", at positions 524 to 776 of the family's 1533-position model. The record is from RNAcentral.
UACGUAGGGUGCAAGCGUUAAUCGGAAUUACUGGGCGUAAAGCGUGCGCAGGCGGCUUUGCAAGACAGAUGUGAAAUCCCCGGGCUUAACCUGGGAACUGCAUUUGUGACUGCAUGGCUGGAGUGCGGCAGAGGGGGAUGGAAUUCCGCGUGUAGCAGUGAAAUGCGUAGAUAUGCGGAGGAACACCGAUGGCGAAGGCAAUCCCCUGGGCCUGCACUGACGCUCAUGCACGAAAGCGUGGGAAGCAAACAGG